RNAcentral lists this ribosomal RNA (241 nucleotides) under uncultured Actinomycetales bacterium. Its description in RNAcentral is "partial 16S ribosomal RNA". It matches the Rfam family "Bacterial small subunit ribosomal RNA", at positions 92 to 334 of the family's 1533-position model. The record is from RNAcentral. Lineage: Bacteria; Bacillati; Actinomycetota; Actinomycetes; Actinomycetales.
CGAGUGGCGAACGGGUGAGUAACACGUGAGUAACCUGCCCACAACUUUGGGAUAACGCUAGGAAACUGGUGCUAAUACUGGAUAUGUGCUCCUGCUGCAUGGUGGGGGUUGGAAAGCUCCGGCGGUUGGGGAUGGACUCGCGGCUUAUCAGCUUGUUGGUGGGGUAGUGGCUUACCAAGGCUUUGACGGGUAGCCGGCCUGAGAGGGUGACCGGCCACAUUGGGACUGAGAUACGGCCCAG